GAUGAACGCUGGCGGCGUGCCUAAUACAUGCAAGUCGAGCGAACGGACGAGAAGCUUGCUUCUCUGAUGUUAGCGGCGGACGGGUGAGUAACACGUGGAUAACCUACCUAUAAGACUGGGAUAACUUCGGGAAACCGGAGCUAAUACCGGAUGAUAUUUUGAACCGCAUGGUUCAAAAGUGAAAGACGGUCUUGCUGUCACUUAUAGAUGGAUCCGCGCUGCAUUAGCUAGUUGGUAAGGUAACGGCUUACCAAGGCAACGAUGCAUAGCCGACCUGAGAGGGUGAUCGGCCACACUGGAACUGAGACACGGUCCAGACUCCUACGGGAGGCAGCAGUAGGGAAUCUUGCGCAAUGGUCGAAAGCCUGACGGAGCAACGCCGCGUGUAUGAUGAAGGUCUUCGGAUCGUAAAACUCUUUUAGUAGGGAAGAACAUAUGUGUAAGAAACUGUGCACAUCUUGACGUUACCUAAUCAGAAAGCCCCGGCUAACUACGUG
RNAcentral lists this ribosomal RNA (497 nucleotides) under uncultured bacterium. RNAcentral's name for it is "partial 16S ribosomal RNA". It matches the Rfam family "Bacterial small subunit ribosomal RNA", at positions 28 to 507 of the family's 1533-position model. The record is from RNAcentral.